Molecule: transfer RNA, 154 nt
Filed under: Haloquadratum sp. J07HQX50
Lineage: Archaea; Methanobacteriati; Methanobacteriota; Halobacteria; Halobacteriales; Haloferacaceae
Description: tRNA-Met
Source: RNAcentral
GCCCGGGUGGCUUAGUUGGACAUAGCGCCGCACUCAUAGGGUUUCUUGAGAUUCGGUGCGGGUCGCCUCGGAAGCCUCCGACAUCCUGAUGAGGCCCGCCGAGCCUCUAACCUGGGAUAUGCGGAGAUCGUGGGUUCGGAGCCCACCCCGGGCA